This 433-nucleotide ribosomal RNA is filed under the name uncultured bacterium. RNAcentral describes it as "partial 16S ribosomal RNA". It matches the Rfam family "Bacterial small subunit ribosomal RNA", at positions 29 to 507 of the family's 1533-position model. The record is from RNAcentral.
AACGAACGCUGGCGGCAUGCCUAACACAUGCAAGUCGAACGAGACCUUCGGGUCUAGUGGCGCACGGGUGCGUAACGCGUGGGAACCUGCCCUUAGGUUCGGAAUAACUCCCCGAAAGGGGUGCUAAUACCGGAUAAUGUCUUCGGACCAAAGAUUUAUCGCCUUUGGAUGGGCCCGCGUUGGAUUAGCUAGUUGGUAGGGUAAAAGCCUACCAAGGCGACGAUCCAUAGCUGGUCUGAGAGGAUGAUCAGCCACACUGGGACUGAGACACGGCCCAGACUCCUACAGGAGGCAGCAGUGGGGAAUAUUGGACAAUGGGCGAAAGCCUGAUCCAGCAAUGCCGCGUGAGUGAUGAAGGCCUUAGGGUUGUAAAGCUCUUUUAACCGGGAUGAUAAUGACAGUACCGGGAGAAUAAGCUCCGGCUAACUCCGUG